AGUGAACGCUGGCGGUAGGCCUAACACAUGCAAGUCGAACGGCAGCACAGUAAGAGCUUGCUCUUACGGGUGGCGAGUGGCGGACGGGUGAGGAAUACAUCGGAAUCUACUUUUUCGUGGGGGAUAACGUAGGGAAACUUACGCUAAUACCGCAUACGACCUACGGGUGAAAGCAGGGGAUCUUCGGACCUUGCGCGAUUGAAUGAGCCGAUGUCGGAUUAGCUAGUUGGCGGGGUAAAGGCCCACCAAGGCGACGAUCCGUAGCUGGACUGAGAGGAUGAUCAGCCACACUGGAACUGAGACACGGUCCAGGCUCCUACGGGAGGCAGCAGUGGGGAAUAUUGGACAAUGGGCGCAAGCCUGGUCCAGCCAUACCGCGUGGGUGAAGAAGGCCUUCGGGUUGUAAAGCCCUUUUGUUGGGAGAGAAAAGCAGCAGGUUAAUACCCCGCUGUUCUGACGGUACCCAAAGAAUAAGCACCGGCUAACUUCGUG
This 492-nucleotide ribosomal RNA is filed under the name uncultured bacterium. RNAcentral's name for it is "partial 16S ribosomal RNA". It matches the Rfam family "Bacterial small subunit ribosomal RNA", at positions 29 to 507 of the family's 1533-position model. The record is from RNAcentral.